GACGAACGCUGGCGGCGUGCUUAACACAUGCAAGUCGAACGGAAAGGCCCUGCUUUUGUGGGGUGCUCGAGUGGCGAACGGGUGAGUAACACGUGAGUAACCUGCCCUUGACUUUGGGAUAACUUCAGGAAACUGGGGCUAAUACCGGAUAGGAGCUCCUGCUGCAUGGUGGGGGUUGGAAAGUUUCGGCGGUUGGGGAUGGACUCGCGGCUUAUCAGCUUGUUGGUGGGGUAGUGGCUUACCAAGGCUUUGACGGGUAGCCGGCCUGAGAGGGUGACCGGCCACAUUGGGACUGAGAUACGGCCCAGACUGCUAAGGGAGGCAGCAGGGGGGAAUAUUGCACAAUGGGCGGAAGCCUGAUGCAGCAACGCCGCGUGCGGGAUGACGGCCUUCGGGUUGUAAACCGCUUUCGCCUGUGACGAAGCGUGAGUGACGGUAAUGGGUAAAGAAGCACCGGCUAACUACGUG
Molecule: ribosomal RNA, 468 nt
Filed under: uncultured bacterium
Lineage: Bacteria
Description: partial 16S ribosomal RNA
Rfam family: Bacterial small subunit ribosomal RNA
Source: RNAcentral